This 88-nucleotide transfer RNA is filed under the name Spirochaetota bacterium. RNAcentral describes it as "Spirochaetes bacterium tRNA-Ser". It matches the Rfam family "tRNA". Rfam says of the family: Transfer RNA (tRNA) molecules are approximately 80 nucleotides in length. Lineage: Bacteria; Pseudomonadati; Spirochaetota. The record is from RNAcentral.
GGAGAGGUGCGAGAGCGGCCGAAUCGGGCUCCCUGCUAAGGAGUUGUGCUCAUUGCGGGCACCGUGGGUUCGAAUCCCACCCUCUCCG